CCGCAACGAGCGCAACCCUUAUAUCUAGUUGCCAAGCAGUAAGAUGGGGACUCUAGAUAGACUGCCAGUGAUAAAACUGGAGGAAGGUGGGGAUGACGUCAAAUCAUCAUGCCCCUUAUGACUUGGGCUACACACGUGCUACAAUGGAUAGGAACAAAGAGAAGCGAGCUCGCGAGAGUAAGCAAACCUCACAAAACUAUUCUCAGUUCGGAUUGUAGUCUGCAACUCGACUACAUGAAGCUGGAAUCGCUAGUAAUCGCGAAUCAGAAUGUCGCGGUGAAUACGUUCCCGGGUCUUGUACACACCGCCCGUCACACCACGAGAGUUUGUAACACCCGAAGACGGUGGCCUAACCUUUUAGGAGGGAGCCGGUCACGGUGGGACAGAUGAUUGGGGUGAAGUCGUAACAAGGUAGCCGUAUCG
RNAcentral lists this ribosomal RNA (423 nucleotides) under Gemella haemolysans. RNAcentral describes it as "bacterial SSU rRNA". It matches the Rfam family "Bacterial small subunit ribosomal RNA", at positions 1087 to 1507 of the family's 1533-position model. The record is from RNAcentral. Lineage: Bacteria; Bacillati; Bacillota; Bacilli; Caryophanales; Gemellaceae.